RNAcentral lists this long non-coding RNA (557 nucleotides) under Capsicum annuum. Its description in RNAcentral is "long non-coding RNA (CANN_LNC003850)". Lineage: Eukaryota; Viridiplantae; Streptophyta; Magnoliopsida; Solanales; Solanaceae. The record is from RNAcentral.
AAGUUCCUCCUCUUCAAUUGCAGGUUUUUCAUCUUUCUCUCCAACAACUAGUUCUUCAGGUUUCUCUUCAAGUGCCAGUUCUUCAGGUGUUUCCUCCUUUGCCAGCUCUUCAGGUGUUUCCUCCUUUGCCAGCUCUUCAGGUGUUUCUUUAGCUGCCGGUUCUUCAGGUUUCUCUUCAACCUCCGGUUCUUGUGGUAUUUCCUCUACUUGUACUUCAGAUUUCUCCUCAAUUGUUGGUUCUUCAGGUUUCUCUCUAACCGCUGCUGCAUUAGGUUUCUCUUCAUUGGCUGGUUCUUCAGGUUUUUCUUCAACUACCGAUUCUUCAGGAUUUUCCUCAAUGUUUGGAAAGGGAGCGACAUCAUUAUUGGUAUUGCAUGGAAUUUCACUGCCAGUUUUGUCAUUCAAGUCCACAACUAGUAUAUUCUGCAAAAGAGUUUAAUGUUUCACUUAGUCUUUCAAUAAAGAAGCAGAUGCGAAUCAUUACAUAUACAUAACUAAUAACAUGGAUAAACUUUAUGACAGUAGUUGACCCUUACCUUUUCCACAAGAGUUACUUU